Molecule: unclassified non-coding RNA, 247 nt
Filed under: Hevea brasiliensis (rubber tree)
Lineage: Eukaryota; Viridiplantae; Streptophyta; Magnoliopsida; Malpighiales; Euphorbiaceae
Source: RNAcentral
GAGUGAUACUUUAGGUCCAAUUACCAAAGCUAGAGUCAGAAUGCUACAAGGUCUAGUGCAAGAGGAGCUGAGCAAGGAUUGCAAGGAAGCAUCAAGAGUUGAGUCGAAUAAUAAGUGGAUCACUUUAGCACAAGUCUAUUCGGCAUAAUAUGGCAAAUUGGACGUGCAUGUUGGAGUGCGAGGGCGUGCAGCAUGGAUCCCAUUUUCUACUUCCAAUUUCCUCUUCCUUUUCCACAAGUUAUUCUCG